RNAcentral lists this long non-coding RNA (2556 nucleotides) under Vitis vinifera (wine grape). Its description in RNAcentral is "long non-coding RNA (VVIN_LNC002061)". Lineage: Eukaryota; Viridiplantae; Streptophyta; Magnoliopsida; Vitales; Vitaceae. The record is from RNAcentral.
ACCCCUCUGCCUUUUACUUCAUUCACUUCCUAAAUAAAUGAACCCUUAAGGCAUUCACUGCCUAAGGGUUCAUGAAGGUUGAGGUAAGAAAUCCCUAAGCUACUUCUUUCACUUCAUUUACCUCCUAAGACAAGGGACCUUGAAGGGCAUUUAUUGCCUAAGGGGUUCAGAAUGGCUUAGGUUGAGAAAUCCCUAAUCAUUUUUUUCUCACUUCCUUCACCUCUCAAGGCAAUGACCUCAUAAAGGGCAUACAUUCUCUAAGGAUUGAAGUAGGGUUAGGCCAAGAUAUCCAUGACUACCCCACUCACUUCAUUUGCCUCCUAAGGUAAUAGUCCCUCGAAGGAUUCAUCACCUUAAAGCUUAAUUAGGUUCAAGUCAAGAAAUCUCUUAUCCUAUCCUUCUCACUUUAUUCACCUCCUAGGGCAAGGGACUAUCAAGGGCAUUUAUCCUAUAAGGGUUUAUAUGUGCUCAAGUUGAGAAAUCUUAUACCCUACUUAUUUGAUCACUUCAUUUGCCUUCCAAAGCAAGUGACCCUUAAAGGGCAUUGGGUUCAAGUGAUCAACUUCAGUUGAGAAUCCUUAACCUUUACCUCUCACUUCAUUUCCCUCAUGAAGUAAACGACCAUCUAAGGCAUUCAUCUCCUAAAAGUUUAAGUGGGCUAAGGUUGAUAAAUCACUAACCUUACUUUUCGUCAUUUACUUGCCUCUUAAGGCUUUGGACCCUUAAGGGUAUAUUUGCUUAUGGGUUUAGGUGGGUUAGGUUAAGAACAUCCUUGGGGAAACCAUUCAAGCCUCUUUUAGGCAGGUUUAAGUGACAAUUUUCACAUGACACAAUAAUAUAAUUAAGAAAUAACAUAAAUUUAAUUUAUUCAAAUUAAGUGUAAUCAUAUUUGUAUCCUUAUUAUGUCAACUUGUGUGAUCCAUUUUAAUAAACAAGUUGUGUUUAAAUUUGAUUAUUUCAUUUAAUUCGUUCACGUAAUCUUCUUAAAAUGACAUGUUCAUGACUUAUAUAAUUCAUAAAAAUUUAUUAAUUUUAUAUAUUUAGAAAUUAUAAAAAUUUAAAAUAAUUUCAAAAUUAUAAAAUAAUAUAUAGUUGAAAAUUUAAUAAUUUAAGUAAAAUUUUAUAUAUUUCAUCACAAAGAUUAAAAAAAUUUUAUAAUUAAAACAUUAAAUAAAAAAAAUAAACAUUUACAAAAUCAAAAUAAAAAUUUACUUUCCAUAUUCUAAACAUAUUAUAAUUAAAAUUAAAUAAUUAAAUUAAUUAUCAUUUAUAAAAUUAAAACUUCAUAUUUAAACUAGUUAAAAAGUAUUUCAAGAUUCAUUAUUCAACUUUAACUCAUUCAUUAAAUGAGUUGAACAAAUCAUGUCAUAUUCUCUGUAUAAUUAACGAGUCGUGUUUAUAUCAGGUCACUCUAACACAAUUAUUAAACCAAUUAUAUUUAAGUAAAUUUUCACUAUUUUUUACUUAAUAAUGAUGUCGUUGUGCAAAUUAAUAAGUCGAUUUUACCACACAAUUAUUAGAAGCCCAUACAAAAAUUUAAGAUCAAAGGUCACAAUCUUCCAUUUUGUUUUAUUUUUUUAAUAUUUAGUGACAAUUUUUGGGUUACCAAAGAAUUUUAUUUAGAAUUAUUAUACUAAGUUCUAAUCGUUAGGUAUGAGGGACGAAUUUAAGAAUCUCAUACCUAAUCCUUUCUUUUUCACUUCCUUCACCUCCUAAGGCAAGGAACUCAUAAAAGGGCAUGCAUCUGUGGAUUGUAGUGGGCUUUAGGCCAAGAUAUUCAUGACUACCCCACUCAUUUCAUUUGCCUCCUAAGGUAAUAGACCCUCGGAGGAUUCAUCACCUUACAGCUUAAUUAGGUCCAAGUCAAAAAAUCUCUUAUCCUCUCCUUCUCACUUUAUUCACCUCCUAGGGCAAGAGACUAUCAAGGGCAUUUAUCCUAUAAGGGUUUAAAUGUGCUCAAGUUGAGAAAUCUUAUACCCUACUUAUUUGAUCACUUCAUUUGCCUUCCAAAGCAAGUGACCCUUAAAGGGCAUUGGGUUCAAGUGAUCAACUUCAGUUGAGAAUCCUUAACCUUUACUUUUCACUACAUUUCCCUCAUGAAGUAAAUGACCAUCUAAGGCAUUCACCUCCUAAAAGUUUAAGUGGGCUAAGGUUGAUAAAUCACUAACCUUACUUUUUGUACAUUGUUUGCCUCUUAAGGCUUCAGACCCUUAAGGGCAUCUUUGCUCAAGAGUUUAGGUGGGUUAGGUUAAGAACAUUCUUGGUGCAACCAUUCAAGCCUCUUUUAGGUAGGUUUAAGUGACAAUUUUCACAUGACACAACAAUAUAAUUAAAAAAAAUAACAUAAAUUUAAUUCAUUCAAAUUAAAUGUAAUCAUAUUUGUAUUGUUAUUAUGUCAACUUGUGUAGUUCAUUUUAAUAAACGAGUUGUGUUUAAAUUUGAUUGUUUCAUUUAAUUCGUUCACGUAAUCUUCUUAAAAUGAAAUGUUCAUGACUUAUUUAAUUCAUAAAAAUUUAUUAAUUUUAUACAUUUAGAAAUUAUAAAAAUUUAAAAUAC